CGUAGGGUAACCUGCGGAAGGAUCAUUG
RNAcentral lists this ribosomal RNA (28 nucleotides) under Rinorea ovata. Its description in RNAcentral is "partial 18S ribosomal RNA". Lineage: Eukaryota; Viridiplantae; Streptophyta; Magnoliopsida; Malpighiales; Violaceae. The record is from RNAcentral.